This 1244-nucleotide ribosomal RNA is filed under the name uncultured prokaryote. RNAcentral's name for it is "partial 16S ribosomal RNA". It matches the Rfam family "Bacterial small subunit ribosomal RNA", at positions 65 to 1314 of the family's 1533-position model. The record is from RNAcentral.
AACGGUAACAGAAAAUAGCUUGCUAUUUUGCUGACGAGUGGCGGACGGGUGAGUAAUGCUUGGGAAUAUGCCUUAUGGUGGGGGACAACAGUUGGAAACGACUGCUAAUACCGCAUAAUAUCUUCGGAUCAAAGUGGGGGACCUUCGGGCCUCACGCCAUGAGAGUAGCCCAAGUGGGAUUAGCUAGUUGGUAAGGUAAUGGCUUACCAAGGCGACGAUCCCUAGCUGGUCUUAGAGGAUGACCAGCCACACUGGAACUGAGACACGGUCCAGACUCCUACGGGAGGCAGCAGUGGGGAAUAUUGCACAAUGGAGGAAACUCUGAUGCAGCCAUGCCGCGUGUGUGAAGAAGGCUUUCGGGUUGUAAAGCACUUUCAGUGGGGAGGAAAGGUUAUUGUUUAAUAGACAAUAGCUGUGACGUUACCCACAGAAGAAGCACCGGCUAACUUCGUGCCAGCAGCCGCGGUAAUACGAGGGGUGCAAGCGUUAAUCGGAAUUACUGGGCGUAAAGCGUACGCAGGCGGUUUGUUAAGCGAGAUGUGAAAGCCCCGGGCUCAACCUGGGAACUGCAUUUCGAACUGGCCAACUAGAGUAUGAGAGAGGGUGGUAGAAUUUCAGGUGUAGCGGUGAAAUGCGUAGAGAUCUGAAGGAAUACCGAUGGCGAAGGCAGCCACCUGGUUCAAUACUGACGCUCAUGUACGAAAGCGUGGGGAGCAAACAGGAUUAGAUACCCUGGUAGUCCACGCCGUAAACGAUGUCUACUAGCAGCUCGGUUCGUUAGAACGGUUUUGCGCAGCUAACGCGUUAAGUAGACCGCCUGGGGAGUACGGCCGCAAGGUUAAAACUCAAAUGAAUUGACGGGGGCCCGCACAAGCGGUGGAGCAUGUGGUUUAAUUCGAUCAACGCGAAGAACCUUACCUACACUUGACAUACAGAGACUUACCAGAGAUGGUUUGCUGCUUCGGGACUCUGAUACAGUGCUGCAUGCUGUCGUCAGCUCGUGUGUGAGAUGUGGGUAAGUCCCGCACGAGCGCACCCCUAUCCUUAGUUGCAGCGAUUCGGUCGGAACUCUAAGAAGACUGCCGGUGAUAACCGCAGAAGGUGGGGACAACGUCAGUCAUCUAUGGGCCCUUAUUGGUAGGGGCUACCACACGUGCUUCAUUGGGCGCAUACAAGAGGGGGGUGCGGACACUUGCUCAGUUAAACAAAAACACACUUAUUAAAGUGGGGGCGCCGAAAAUACG